This 3772-nucleotide long non-coding RNA is filed under the name Populus trichocarpa (black cottonwood). Its description in RNAcentral is "long non-coding RNA (PTRI_LNC002470)". The record is from RNAcentral. Lineage: Eukaryota; Viridiplantae; Streptophyta; Magnoliopsida; Malpighiales; Salicaceae.
UGCUAAGUAAGUGAGACAUGGAAUUAGAGGUAUUACAUAAAAAACUGCUGGCCUGAAAGAAAGAGCAUAAGUCAGACCAUUUCUGUUUAUUUCACUGCCAUUUACCACCUUUUUUCCGAUUAGAAAGUCACUAAAAUACAGAAAAAAAAGGACUUUAAUGUGAGAAAAAAGAGCAAAGAGACAACAAUCUAUAGUUCCAUUUGGCAUGCUAUCACCAUUAAUCUCCUGCAAGACAGUUUCAAGUCUUCUUGUAAACAAAAAGAAAAAAUGAAAGAAAACACUUAAAAAUAAUAAAGGAAAUAAGUGCCAAAAGAUCCGACCCACAAAAAAAAAAAAAACAGAGAAACAAGGUGUGAAUUCUCAAAAUGUUCCAAAGUUCUAAGACAUGCCAUCAACAAGCUGCACUUUGGAUCCAAUGAAACAACAGCCCAAACCAUGAGCAGCAGAAAACAACAUGAUGCAUUUCAACAGAAUCAACAGUCAAUUAAGUGGAUCACAAGGAGCGGUUCUUGAAAAUAAUUCAGCAAUAGAAUAUUUGAUAUUGUCUUUCAAUUAAUUGAAGCCUCUUCUCAAAAAGUUAACGUUGUAAGGAAGGACAGCUUGAUGGCAACUGUUGUGUUAGGGUUCAACAUGAUGUGUGUUGUAAAGAAAUCUGAAAGACAUUUGAAGAUGACAACACGCCUAUCUUCCAGGGAGGCUCCAAAACAAUGCUAAAGGGUUACUAAAAUGGAAGUCCAGCAUACUUGAAUGGUGAAAAAUCAGCCAGAGCUUAUAUUUUGAGGCUACUACCAUUGCAGUGUACUAAAAUUUAUUAAAAACUCGCCAAAGGUAAAUGCCUCGCAUACUUGGAAUACAUAAAUAGACAUGAAUCACCCAAGAGCUGAUAUUUUGAGGCAUGCUUCAACAUUUAGAGAAAAGAUAGCAUUUCAAAGUCGCUGUAAGAGAUAUUAACAUCUUAACAAAUUUAAGGAGUCUCCAAAUACAACAUCAGAAACCAGCAACGAGAUACAUGCAACUUCUACAUGAUAAGCAGAUGGGAAGAAAAAUUCAAGCCAACAUUCACAAGAAGGAAUUUGAUUGUGAUCCAUCAAAAUCAGUACCUGGGUGAUUGAUGAUGAUCAUAGGACUUGACAGAUAGGGAAAAGAAGAUCCAUGCAGGAAGCAUAGAUGCCAACACAAUAAAGGUCAGAAACCCUCCACCGAGCCCAGCUACCAGAUAGGCCUGCCUUUACUAUAGUUAGCAAAUUUUUGAAACUAUCAAAAUCUAGAAGCCACAAAGAUUUCUUCUAAAUAGUAAACUGAAUACCGAAGUUAUGCAAGCAUAAAAUCCAAAUGCUCCCCAAAACCUUGCUUCUUCAGAUAGAGCCUACAAAAUACACUCCAUUUCAGAUAUCUGCUAGCUUCAGUGAUGGAUGGUGCUCCUGCAUUAGAUUUAACACCCAUCCAGAGGACGCAUACACAACUCCAACAAACUCCAAGUAAGGCAUAAUUCUACCAAGCAAUUUAAAAUAAGGGGGGAAAUAUAUGAUUAGCCAUACAACACAAAUCAAAGAGUCCAAUGAAUCAAAUCACUAACAAAUGUGGUGGGAUUGCAUAUUUUAUGUAAAGUUUAUCUUAUGAAGAUUGCAAUUUGACCCAUUAAAGGGGAGUCUUGGAAAGAGAAUUUGGAAGCAAUCUUGCCAUUCUACCUUUUAACAUGAAGUUGCCUGCUGUUCUCAGGGCUCAAAACGCAACCUUGUUGGUUGCAAGCCACGAGUUUAUUUUUACCAUUGUGCCAAGCAAUGACCCAUAGUUAACAUCAUAAGGAAAGAAACAAACUUUUACAAGAGAGAAGUAAAACGUGUCCAUCUUUCAUAUAAAGUAGCUGAUGCAAUUCAAGAAAACAGUUUUCAUUCAACAAAAUAGUUUUCAGCAAUUCAAUUUUGGAGAACUUUUUACAAUUAUCAAAUAUCCUAAUUAGACCUAAGAUUACAAUUAAUGCUUUGCUUUUCAAUGAGGCUCUGUUAAAUGAGAAGCUCAACAACACAGUAGUAAAAGUAAAGAAAGUGACCAUAAAUUGGCCACUGAUCUCUACUAAAUGCCACGCAUAUCAAAUGUUUGCUCAUCCAUAGCAAUCAGAGGACCUCUUUCCCCAUUUAUGAAAACAACUUAUCUUCUGAUCAUGUUUCUGUAUUGGUUUUCAAUUCCUAAUAAAUUGGUUUUCAUCUUAUUUUCUCAUAUUUUGAUGCAGACUUGCAUUCAGAUCAAUUAUUUUGAAAUUUCUUUGCAUUGAUGAAGUCAGUAAAUGUUGCUGCACAACUUGAAUGCCAUAUUAAAUGGUAUCCUCACUCUUAUUAGUAACCAAAGAUAUAUUCCAAAUGAAUAUGCAACCUAGAAUGUAAAGCUAGAAAAAAUCCCGAUUUGCAAGCACUUCUAGUCAUGUGUGUUAAAUGUAACAAGCAUGGCCUGAAUAAGUAAUCAAUUGAAAAUUAUAUGAUAUCUAAUUGUACCUCUGAUUUAUUGAUGACUGAAACAUCUUGUGAGGGGGGGGAACAACCCCAAACAGUUCUUGGAAUCAGCAAACCAACAAGUGAGCUUGGGACAAACAUCAGGAAUGCCAGGUAUGGACGUGCAAACCUGCAUUAGAAUCUUGCAUGUCAAAGAGAACCAUGACCAACAGUUAUAACAUCAUCCUCUAGUUACUUCUGAGUAACAGAAGACAUUCAUGGUGUCCCAUGGAAGUUCAUCAUUAUAACAUCAUCAUCCUAUAGAAGUUCAUAUUUCUGUUGAAUACAAUGAAACUACUGAAAAAGACCAUGACCAGCAGUUAUGGAGACCCCACGCUCACAACUGGUGAAAUUUUUCCCAUUUGAAAUUCCAAGGAGAAUAAAAGAAAAGAAACAGAGAACAAACUAACCAGCUCAUCGCAUAACUAGUGAAGAACAGUCUCACAGUGGCAAAGAUAACUGGGAAAAUAAUAGCCAAUAUAAUUCCAGCAGCAUGGAAAAGCAUUCCUUGAAAGUAAACAAAUUCUGAGUAUUAUUCACAAAAUCUUCAAUAUGCAUGUCUUGUGUUGUGUGUAUGGGGUAUCAGAGCAUGGAGAUUCAGAUGAAAAAAAUUCAUAUAGAAAUCAGCAGUAGAGAGUUAACCUUUCAAAAAAUCAUAGAAGGUUGCAAAACAAGAACGUGACCUAGAAUCCCAAAAAUGCAAAAGGAAUGGCAUGACAAGAAAAAUGACAAUGGGAAUACUAUGAAGUACCAGAGCUACCCUUCUUGAAUAGAAUAUCUGGAAAAAAAAACAUUAAAGAUAUAAGGACAAUGUUAUGAAUUAAUCAAGGUCACAAUAAGAUCACACAGUGAGUCAUAAAUAAGUUAAAAUUUAAGUACAAAUAAUGAAAUUGGAUAGAGCAGAUAUCAUAAAUUUUGCAACAUACAAUGAACCAUGAUAAGAAAUCAAAGAAAACAGCCCUCUCAUCCUUGUAGUCAUUGAUUGAAGCUUUAAGAUAUUCUCUCUCUCGAGCACUUUGUAGCUUAGAAGAAUUUGUGAAGGCUUUCAGUAUGCUGAACAAAUUGUCUCCACGUGCUUGCAUGAUCCCAGGUCUGGUGUGAGUACAUGCAGAUGCAUAAGAGGAUGCGUUUAAGAAUAAAGUGACAAAAGAAUUCCAAUGAAAUAUUUAUAUGACGAAAUGGCAGAAGUAAAGCAUACAGUAAUUUGUCCAAUGUAUCAUAGGAUGUAUGGUAGUAAUAACCACCAAGAAGAAAGAUAAUAUCCAGGCUUGGAAUGUUUCCGUGAU